GCCUGAUCAUGGCUCAGAUUGAACGCUGGCGGGAUGCUUUACACAUGCAAGUCGAACGGCAGCACGGACUUCGGUCUGGUGGCGAGUGGCGAACGGGUGAGUAAUGUAUCGAACGUGCCUAGUAGCGGGGGAUAACUACGCGAAAGCGUAGCUAAUACCGCAUACGCCCUUCGGGGGAAAGCGGGGACCUUCGGGCCUCGCACUAUUAGAGCGGCCGAUAUCGGAUUAGCUAGUUAGUAACGGCUCACCAAGGCGACGAUCCGGUAGCUGGUUUGAGGUGAUCGACCUGCUGCACUGGGACCGCGCCCAAGAUCCAUGUGAGUGCUGCAGUAGAAUUCUAGAUAACGGAAACCUUCUGAUCCGCCAUCCUGGCGCGAUGGCAUCACGGGGUUGCAAAGCACUUUGGCAGGAAGUAAAGAAACGGCACGGGAUAAUACCCCGUGCAACUGACGGUACCUGGCAGAAUAAGCACCGGCUAACUACGUGCCAGCAGCCGCGGUAAUACGUAGGUGCAAGCGUUAUCUGAAUUACUGAGCGCAAAGCGUGCGCAGGCGGUUCGGAAAGAAAGAUGUGAAAUCCUGUGAGCUUAACUUUGGAACUGCAUUUUAACUACCGAGCUAGAGUGUAAGCCAGAGGGAGGUGGAAUUCAUAGCAGUGAAAUGCGUAGAUAUGCGGAGGAACACCGAUGGCGAAGGCAGCCUCCUGGGAUAAUCGACGUCAUUGGUGCACGAAAGCGGGGGAGCAAACAGACUAGAUACCCUGGUAGUCCACGCUCCUAAACGAUGUCAACUAGCUGCUGGGGUCGGGCCUUGGUAGCGCAGCUAACGCGUGAAGUUGACCGCCUGGGGACACGGCCAAAGAUUAAACCGUUGCGCGAAUCGAUGACCCGCACAAGCGGUGGAUGAUGUGGAUUAAUUCGAUGCAACGCGAAAAACCUUACCUACCCUUGACAUGUCUGGAAUCCCGAAGAGAUUUGGGAGUGUCGCACAGAACCGAACACAGGUGCUGCACGUUGCCGUCAGCUCGUGUCGGAGAUGUUGGUUGAAAGUCCGCAACGAGCGCAACCCUUGUCAUUAGUUGCGUUAACAGGCGGCACUUUGCUGAGACUGCCGGUGACAAACCGAGGAAGGUGGGGAUGACGUCAAGUCCUCAUGGCCCUUAUGGGUAGGGCUUCACACGUCAUACAAUGGUCGGGACAGAGGGUCGCCAACCCGCGAGGGGGAGCCAAUCCCAGAAACCCGAUCAACCGGAUCGCAGUCUGCAACUCGACUGCGUGAAGUCGGAAUCGCUAGUAAUCGCGGAUCAGCAUGUCGCGGUGAAUACGUUCCCAAGUUCUGUACACUGCCCGUCACACCGCGGGGAGUGGGUUUUACCAGAAGUGAGCAGUUUGCACCGUAAGGAGGGCGAUUACCACGGUAGGAUUCAUGACUGGGGUGAAGUCGUAACAAGGUAGCCUCAGCAUGUUCCGAUAAGUUCCGUGAAGGCUGGUCAA
RNAcentral lists this ribosomal RNA (1492 nucleotides) under uncultured Bordetella sp. RNAcentral describes it as "partial 16S-23S ribosomal RNA intergenic spacer". It matches the Rfam family "Bacterial small subunit ribosomal RNA". Lineage: Bacteria; Pseudomonadati; Pseudomonadota; Betaproteobacteria; Burkholderiales; Alcaligenaceae. The record is from RNAcentral.